This 1407-nucleotide ribosomal RNA is filed under the name Lactiplantibacillus plantarum. RNAcentral's name for it is "bacterial SSU rRNA". It matches the Rfam family "Bacterial small subunit ribosomal RNA", at positions 57 to 1432 of the family's 1533-position model. Lineage: Bacteria; Bacillati; Bacillota; Bacilli; Lactobacillales; Lactobacillaceae. The record is from RNAcentral.
GCAGUCGACGAACUCUGGUAUUGAUUGGUGCUUGCAUCAUGAUUUACAUUUGAGUGAGUGGCGAACUGGUGAGUAACACGUGGGAAACCUGCCCAGAAGCGGGGGAUAACACCUGGAAACAGAUGCUAAUACCGCAUAACAACUUGGACCGCAUGGUCCGAGCUUGAAAGAUGGCUUCGGCUAUCACUUUUGGAUGGUCCCGCGGCGUAUUAGCUAGAUGGUGGGGUAACGGCUCACCAUGGCAAUGAUACGUAGCCGACCUGAGAGGGUAAUCGGCCACAUUGGGACUGAGACACGGCCCAAACUCCUACGGGAGGCAGCAGUAGGGAAUCUUCCACAAUGGACGAAAGUCUGAUGGAGCAACGCCGCGUGAGUGAAGAAGGGUUUCGGCUCGUAAAACUCUGUUGUUAAAGAAGAACAUAUCUGAGAGUAACUGUUCAGGUAUUGACGGUAUUUAACCAGAAAGCCACGGCUAACUACGUGCCAGCAGCCGCGGUAAUACGUAGGUGGCAAGCGUUGUCCGGAUUUAUUGGGCGUAAAGCGAGCGCAGGCGGUUUUUUAAGUCUGAUGUGAAAGCCUUCGGCUCAACCGAAGAAGUGCAUCGGAAACUGGGAAACUUGAGUGCAGAAGAGGACAGUGGAACUCCAUGUGUAGCGGUGAAAUGCGUAGAUAUAUGGAAGAACACCAGUGGCGAAGGCGGCUGUCUGGUCUGUAACUGACGCUGAGGCUCGAAAGUAUGGGUAGCAAACAGGAUUAGAUACCCUGGUAGUCCAUACCGUAAACGAUGAAUGCUAAGUGUUGGAGGGUUUCCGCCCUUCAGUGCUGCAGCUAACGCAUUAAGCAUUCCGCCUGGGGAGUACGGCCGCAAGGCUGAAACUCAAAGGAAUUGACGGGGGCCCGCACAAGCGGUGGAGCAUGUGGUUUAAUUCGAAGCUACGCGAAGAACCUUACCAGGUCUUGACAUACUAUGCAAAUCUAAGAGAUUAGACGUUCCCUUCGGGGACAUGGAUACAGGUGGUGCAUGGUUGUCGUCAGCUCGUGUCGUGAGAUGUUGGGUUAAGUCCCGCAACGAGCGCAACCCUUAUUAUCAGUUGCCAGCAUUAAGUUGGGCACUCUGGUGAGACUGCCGGUGACAAACCGGAGGAAGGUGGGGAUGACGUCAAAUCAUCAUGCCCCUUAUGACCUGGGCUACACACGUGCUACAAUGGAUGGUACAACGAGUUGCGAACUCGCGAGAGUAAGCUAAUCUCUUAAAGCCAUUCUCAGUUCGGAUUGUAGGCUGCAACUCGCCUACAUGAAGUCGGAAUCGCUAGUAAUCGCGGAUCAGCAUGCCGCGGUGAAUACGUUCCCGGGCCUUGUACACACCGCCCGUCACACCAUGAGAGUUUGUAACACCCAAAGUCGGUG